RNAcentral lists this ribosomal RNA (449 nucleotides) under uncultured bacterium. Its description in RNAcentral is "bacterial SSU rRNA". It matches the Rfam family "Bacterial small subunit ribosomal RNA", at positions 330 to 795 of the family's 1533-position model. The record is from RNAcentral.
CCCAGACUCCUACGGGAGGCAGCAGUGGGGAAUAUUGCACAAUGGGGGAAACCCUGAUGCAGCGACGCCGCGUGAGCGAGGAAGUAUUUCGGUAUGUAAAGCUCUGUCAGCAGGGAAGAAGAAUGACGGUACCUGAAGAAGAAGCACCGGCUAAAUACGUGCCAGCAGCCGCGGUAAUACGUAUGGUGCAAGCGUUAUCCGGAUUUACUGGGUGUAAAGGGAGCGCAGGCGGUUCUGCAAGUCUGAUGUGAAAGCCCGGGGCUCAACCGCGGGACUGCAUUGGAAACUGCGGGACUGGAGUGUCGGAGGGGUAAGCGGAAUUCCUGGUGUAGCGGUGAAAUGCGUAGAUAUCAGGAGGAACACCGGUGGCGAAGGCGGCUUACUGGACGAUGACUGACGCUGAGGCUCGAAAGCGUGGGGAGCAAACAGGAUUAGAUACCCUAGUAACA